UUAGUAAUAUGGAGGUGUCUGCCCUGAUAGCAGACUACUCCGAUCCGGAUCCGUUUUACCUCCGGCAGAUCCGCGCUACAGUCAGGUCUGUUUAGUGGAUCUGGUCCGGCUUCACUCCGGGUUCGGGUUAUGAUUGUGACUCACGUUCAGAUCCGUUUUACUGACGGUAAAUCCGCAUAACAGUCCGUCUCAUUUCACGCCUUCCAUAUGACUUCGGCACGGAGUCAGAUACCAGAUGUGAGUUCAGUGUCAGUUCAGUGUCGUUUUGCGGAUCCGGGCCGCAUCGGCGGAGCGGCACAGGAGCGGGAGAAAUUCAAACUCAGCGCGAGGACCAACUGACAUCUUCUGAAUCUGCGCUUCAGGUGUAAUCAUUUACCCAUCAAAUCACCUAACAAGGAUCAGCCUGGAUCCUAACAGUACUUGAUGCACUGAGCAGUGACAUUAUACAUAGAGUAGUUAAGCAGGAUUUGGUAUCCGCAAAAUGGUUAGAGGUCCUCAGCCCUUGCCUCCCCCAGCACAGAGGAAAACUACCAAGGGCGGUACUCUCAUUAUAGGAGAUUCAAUUGUUAGACAUUUAAAAGUAUCUAAGAGUAAUGGCACAAUUUCAUGUCUUCCAGAUGCUUGCAUGCUGGUAGUCGGCAAGCGGCUCCCUGGGGCGCAUUGCCAAAGCAGGAACCCCGGCACCAUCGCCCUCCACGUGGGGAUGAGCUUUCGGGAGCGACCGGCCCCGUUCCACAGAGACAGGCUUCUCUCUGUGAACAUCGAGGCGGUGCUACGCUGAGACUGACUGUCUCUACCCAGUCACACCAGCCAAGCUGCACUGUAGUGGUGUUAAGUGUCCAAGAAUGCUCUCAUCAGUGGAGGCACAGCUGGCUGCAAAAAACGUCUGUGUCUGCAUGUUUAUAUUAUGUGAAUUAAAAAUGGUUUUAUUAUUAAAAUAAUUGUAUUAAUGCCUGUUGAUUUAUAAAUUGUUUAAUUGAAAUCAAAUUUUAUUUAAGUAGCUUAAUUAAGUAUUGCAUUUAUAACUGAUGGUAUUUUAUUUAAUUAGCUUAAGUAUUGCAUUUAUAAGUGAUGGUAUUUUAUUUUAAUUAGCUUAAGUAUUGCAUUUAUAAGUGAUGGUAUUUUAUUUUAAUUAGCUUAAGUAUUGCAUUUAUAAGUGAUGGUAUUUUAUUUUAAUUAGCUUAAGUAUUGCAUUUAUAACUGAUGGUAUUUUAUUUUAAUUAGCUUAAGUAUUGCAUUUAUAAGUGAUGGUAUUUUAUUGAAUUAGCUUAAUUAAUAUUGCAUUUAUAAGUGAUGAUAUUUUAUAUAAUUAGCUUAAUUAAGUAUUGCAUUUAUAAGUGAUGGUAUUUUAUUUAAUUAGCUUAAUUAAGUAUUGCAUUUAUAACUGAUGGUACUUUCAUUAAUUAGCUUAAUUAAGUAUUGCAUAUAUAAGUUAUGGUAUUUUAUUUAAUUAGCUUAAUUAAGUAUUGCAUUUAUAAUUAUUGUAUUUCAUUUAGCUAACCUAAUUAAGGAUUGCAUUUACAACUAAUGUUUUUUUAUUAUAUUAUUUAAAUAUUGCAUUUGUAAUUUAAUGUACUGUAUUAAACUCUUUUAAUUUAUCAAUGUAAAAAAGAAGUAAAAUAGCUUAGUGCUCUUUCUUUACUACUUUUAUUUUGAAAUAUGUCAUUAUAAUCAUUAAUAAGUAGGCUGGGGAACGUGAAAAGGCCGUGGCUUGGCCGUAGCUAAUACGGAACUAAUCCGGGGCUGAUCCAGAUCUGUAACGGACCUGUUCCAGCGAGUGUAACGGUAAGCGGAUCCGGCGCGGAUCCGGCCCAUAUUCGGUCUAAAGGAACACCUGAAACGCUUGGUCUGGACUGGUGCUGGCCUAGUAUCUUUUUGACUCCGUAAAACGGAUCCGUGACGGUUUUGGCCCGUUGUGCAUCUGGACCCCGGCCCAGAACCGUUUUACGGAUCCGGCGCGGAACUUGUGAUAGACUCGGCCCGGAUCCGGCCAGAAUGCUUUUUGCUAUCUGGGUGCU
Molecule: long non-coding RNA, 2018 nt
Organism: Astyanax mexicanus (Mexican tetra)
Lineage: Eukaryota; Metazoa; Chordata; Actinopteri; Characiformes; Acestrorhamphidae
Exons: 5
Source: RefSeq, a predicted model, not a curated record